AAUAAAGUGCCUGAAAAAGGAUUAUUCUGAUAGAAUAAAUAAUGUAGUAUACUCUACCUUUAUUA
RNAcentral lists this transfer RNA (65 nucleotides) under Battus polydamas (gold-rim swallowtail). RNAcentral describes it as "tRNA-Ile". The record is from RNAcentral. Lineage: Eukaryota; Metazoa; Arthropoda; Insecta; Lepidoptera; Papilionidae.